RNAcentral lists this long non-coding RNA (1217 nucleotides) under Mytilus galloprovincialis (Mediterranean mussel). Lineage: Eukaryota; Metazoa; Mollusca; Bivalvia; Mytilida; Mytilidae. The record is from RNAcentral.
CUUUCUUAGUAUUGGUAUAAGUAUUUUUUCAUCAUUGACAGUUCAAUUUUUUGUUCAGGUAUAUUAAUCAAUGAGUGAUAUAUUUCUCCUAGAAGAAAUUUAAAGGUCCUGGUGAAUAAACUACAGAGAACAAUACCUGUUGUAUUUGUUAGAUGGGACAAUAGAACUGCCAAAAGUUUAAAUCGACAGGUAACUUGCAGGUGAAUCGUGGAAAACUAUCAUAGGGUUCGCUAUAAAACACAUUGGUGGCCUAUGGCUGUUUUCUGCCCUUUGGUUGUGUUGUUGUCUCUUUGACACAUUCCCCAUUUGAAUUUAUGCUACCUAAAUAGUUGUCAAAAGUACCAGGAUUAUAAUUUAGUACGCGAGACGCACGUUUCGUCUACAUAAGACUCAUCAGUGACGCUCAAAUCGAAAUAUUUAUAAAGCAAAACAAGUACAAAGUUGAAGAGCAUUGAGGAUCCAAAAUUCCAAAAAGCAAAAUUACUUUUGUUAUCCUGAACAUGAAAUGAAAUAUUAGCCACUGGACGUUAAGCAAACACCAAUUAAUCGUUAUUAAAGUUUGUUUUGCAUUUAUGACUUUUUGGCCAGUACAAAAGAUUAAAAAACUUUUUUCUUUUGAAAUAUUCUGUGUUCAAAUUUUAUGAUUUAAGGAUAAAGGUAAUAAAUUUUAAGUUUAUUGUGUUACAAAACAUGUUUUAUUGAUACUUCAAUUUCAAUCAUAUAAUGACUGAACAAAUAUACUGUUUAAUAAUAUAAUGGCCAGCUGGCCGGGAGUCUUUUGAUCAUUUUCUUCUGUCAUUAUAUAUAUUUUCAAAAGGUCAGCCAAGUCUUUAGUGCUAAUUUAAUAUGUUCAAGUGGUUAUGAAUAAUUAACUUAUUUAGAUUUGAGUUGCUGUAAUAUUAACAAAUACCCCAUAUUUACCAUUAUUCAAUUUUAUGAAGUGCACUUAAUUUCAUCAAAUAGAUUUUGAUACCGUGCAUCUUAGUAUUAUACUGUUGGGUAGCUUUAGAAUUUUUCCGAUAUCCUGCAUAUUACAUUGCAUCUCAACUUUCACUUCCAUACAUGUAUCAGGGGCGGAUCCAGCCAUUUUAAAAAGGGGGGGUUCCUAACCCAGGACAAAGGGGGGUUUCCAAUUACAUGUCCCCAUUCAAAUGCAUUGAUCGUCCAAAAAAAAGGGGGUUCCAACCCCCAGAACCCCCCCUCUGGAUCCGCGCCUG